UUUCCUCCUAUCAACUUUGCGGUCUGUUUAACUUCUCCACUGCUAAAGACCAAAGUUCAGAGCAUAGUUCCAACUUUAUAGUGGUCGACUCCCUUCAUUCAUGUGAACUUUCCUCAGAGAAGGCUGCAAAAAAAGCCAAGUAUCACACCUGUCACAAAAAUUCUUCGAGUCUUUCCAUUGAGUUCUUUAAGCAGAGCGGUUGGAGUGAUGCACAAGUCAUGAAACUUAUCCGGAAGUCACCGCUGUUGCUGCGUACUAAGGUAGAGACUGCCCUGAAGCCCAGAAUGAGAUCUUUGAAGGACAUGGGAUUUUCUGACACUGAAAUAGUUCAGCUGGUUUCAUCAUGUCCAUCUGUACUCCUUUUACGUGAUAUCCAACCAAAGAUCGACUUCUGGAGGUCACUACUUGGUUCUAAUGAGAGGUUACUGAAUGCCUCUAGGAGGAACAUGUUUCUACUUGGUUCUAGCAUGGAUCGGAAGAUAGAACCUAAUGUAUCUCUCUUAAGGGAAUGUGGCAUCAGUGACAAACGCAUCGUGUAUAUGGUGAUGACAACGCCGGCCAUUAUGGGUCGAUCAAACAAAUAUAUGAAGGAAGCUAUCAAAUUAGUUAAGGAGUUGGGUGUGCCAUGUAACUGUAGAAUGUUCCCUUAUGCACUUAGUAUGGUCACCGGCAUGAGCCGAUCCAGGUUUUAUGAUACCUUUGCAACCCUGAUGAACUUUGGGUUCUCCCUGCAAGACAUCAUAGCUGCAUUCAGGAAGCAUCCAACCAUUUGGUAUUUGUCGAAGAAGAACAUAUGUGACAAGAUGACUUUCCUGUUGAAGGAAGCUGGUUGUGAGCUGACAUAUAUCAUUUCCCAUCCUGUGAUUCUUGCAUACAGCUUGGAGAAGAGGUUGAAACCUCGAUAUGCAAUUCUGAAUUUUCUUGAGCAGAAUAAAUUGCUGGAUAAAGUAUAUAGCCUGAUGUCCGUGAUAAUGCUAUCGGAAAAGAAGUUCCAAAAUAAAUUUCUUUUCCUGCUUCGCGAGGAGAAAUCUAUUGCUCUAUAUGAUUCCUAUUUGAAAUCUGUUGCUCAAUAGGAUUCCUAUGUUGCUGCUGGGCAUGGAAAGCACCAUGUUGUUUGGGAAAAUUAGGAUUGCAUGUGCUUCCUCAGACAAAGUGUCAACUUAUUGCACACUUAUUUAAUCAUGUUAAAUUUGUGACAAUUUAAAUUCUCCAAGGAGCUUCUUUUCUUUUAUUCUUUGGUACAACAAAAGAUACGGAUUCUUUUAUGCAGAAAUAUAGUGAACCAACGGGGAGAAGUCUUACUUAAGAAAGAUAUAAAGGUAACUAAAAUGUUUCAACUCUGUCAGCUAUCUGUGUCAACUUGGCAUCAGUCGUAUUAAUUUAGAUGAUUAAGAACUUGUUAAUUAUGUGAGUAUGAAUAGGGACUAAUAUAUGAUAGUAAAGAGUUAAUUGUGUGAGGGCUUUCUUUGUCAGAAUCCCAUCACCUCUCCACCGGCUCUAAAUUACAUCUCUAUUUAUAUGGAAUGAAACCUCUAUUGUUACAUGUUGUUAAUCAUGCACUAAUAUAUGAUAGUUAAGUGUGAUUUAUUGAAGAUAUCGAUUUACUAUAUACUAUUGUUGAAAAAUGAACCCACGAGAGUAAUACCUUUCGAUUUAUUGUUGGAGCGCACUAACGAAUAUUCAGUUAUGCAAAGAUGAUUAUUAUAAUAUGAUGAUUGAAUUUUGUGUAUACUAUGGUACAUUAGUGCAUGUGGCAAUUAUGAGAUUUAUUAGAUAGUAUCAACAUGCACUAUUGUAAGAGGCCCCGUGAGAUCAACGUGCACUAUUGUGAGAUUUAUUAUAUAGUAUCAACUGUCACCUCUCUCUCCCUCUCUCUCUCUCUUUCUCAGCCCGUGACUGCAUGCAUGCAUCCCAAUAUUCGUUCUAGUCAUCGUUCUAGUCAUAUCCAGACAUACUCACACAUUAAGAAUUUAAGAGUCAUCGGUUCAUCUCAAGCUUGCUUCUUAAUGUUCAAUUUAAUGCACUAAGCAAUAGAUAUGGUUUAAGGUAACAACACUCUCUCGAGUGAAGUGAACGGGUCUCGGCGCCCCCCUGAUUCAAAUCAGAGAGGACUAUAUUGGAUCUGAGCACAACAUAAGUCACUGGAUCUGGUUCGAUGGAACCAAAUGAAGGACUCUCCUCUCUCACACACAACUAUAUCAAUGGCCACGCGUCCAAUGAGAAGACUCGUGGAAACCUAAUCAGCCACCGGCGGCACCGUCUUCCUCUCCAUCCGCGAAUGGCGGCGGCAGCAAUGUCUUCCUCAGCGGGCUCAUCGUUGGUAUCUUUCUCCUCCUCCUCCUCCUCCUCAUCCUUUGCCGUCGCCCACUCUGCCCCAACCGCCUCCCUCCAUCUUCCCGCCCCCACCUUCGCCGUAGCCCCCCCGCGACCGGCGUCUGCCCCUGCCUCUUCCUUUCCCCUCGUCGUAGCCGUCUUACCCCUUCCUUCCUGCGCCGGCGUUUUCCCUUCUCCUCCCUACGUCGGCGUCUUCUUUCAUUGUAUCAUCCUUUCACCCCCGCAGCGUCUUCUCCCCCCUUCGCUUCGCUGCAGCCGCUUGAUAAGACCCUAAGGUUUUAUCAGGGAAAAAAUUGGGAGAAAAGGGGACGAUCACUUCGAGAUGAUCGGCCUCCUUGAUCACUUCGAGGGGAUCGUCGACGGGAACUUGUCUUCGUGCCCGGCACCCAGUGUGCAGCUGUUUGUUCAACAUUCUAAAGUUUUUGUUUUUCUCAUUUAUCUCUUUUCUCUUAUGCACGCAAAGUGUUCGCUGAAUGGCUUUUAAAGCUUUUCUUUUUGUGGGACGUCGGGACUUGUCCGUUGUUUAUUCUUCGAACUAAUCAACUUUUUCUUAUGCACGCAAGGUGUUCGCUGACCUUUGCGGACACAUAUCACAAGGGCACGUCAUGACUUUGGCAAUCCCAAUUAAGUCCAAGAAGUUGACGCAACGGCGCUUUGCGACUUAGGCAACUCAAGCCAAAUUUGUGUCUUGGCCGCAAGGGUGCCUCACGACUUAGGCAAUUCCAGUUAAGUCCGUGACAAGGCGACGGUGAAGAAGGAGGCAACGAGGGUCACGGUUGGGAUGUGUUGGCCGGGAGCAGUGGCGGUGGCGGUUGCUGGCCGAAGAUGCAAGGCUGACCCUGUUUUGGUCGCCGCGAGGAGGAGAGGUCGAGCGGCUGCGGUUGCGAUUGCGACCCAAGGGGGGGCGGGCGACGGUGGAGAAGGAGGCAGCGAGGUUCACGACUGGGAGGUGGGCGACGGUCAUCGUUGGCCGGGAACUUGCUGUGGUGGAGAGGGGAAAGAGGGAUGCUCUGUUUCUAUCGCACCACAGCAGGAGCCACUGGCGAUGUCGAAGGAUCGCGAGCGGUUGAGGAGAAGGCUGGCAACGGUGGUGGCUCGGGUGGGAGGUGACGGGCGACGGUGGACUCUGGCCGGGGAGCGGGGCUGUGGUGGGAUGGGACAUUGGCAGCGUCGUCUCCUGGCAGCGGUGGUGGCUUGGGUGGGAGGCAACAGGCGAUGGUGGACUCCGGCCGGGAAGCAGGGCGGUGGUGGUAGCGGCGGUGGGGUUGGUUGGAAGUAGGGAAAGUAUGAGCCCUUUCCACCAGCGACAGUGGUGGAGGAGAGGGGAAGCAGGGGUUCUCGGUUGUGCGUGGCUGCGCCCCCUUUUUUUUUUUUUAUGAUAACUACAACGAGGACUCCGAGGAUCGCUGCUCUGAUACCAAAUGAUAAGACCCUAGGGUUUUAUUAUGGAAAAAAAGGGAGAAAAGGGGAUGAUCACUUCGAGGGGAUCGACCUCCUAGGGUUUGUCAAAAGACUUAAUAAUAUUUCAUUGUCUCCGAAAAGAAACGAUUACAUCAUUAUUUAUAGAGUUCCACUUAGAAUCCAUCACGACUUGGACUCUUAAUAAUAAAUAAAUAUUAAAUAAAUUUCUAUCCGAUUCUAACUGAAUUAAACAUACUCAAUAAACAUUAUUCAAAAGUUUAGAAAAUAAAAAGGAUCCUAACAUCGCCCCAGCAACCCAACCGACAUUGACAACCAUUCUAACCCGUACCUCCUCCUCCUCCUCGGAUCCUUCAUCCUUGACCCCCUCCCAACUGACAACAACCCCCUCUUCAUCCUCCUCCUUCUAUGUAAAUUGUUUUAUUAAUAUAGAUUUGAACAAGUAUUAUUUGGUCCUUUAAAUGAUUACCAUGUUUCUUUUUUUGUUUUAGCGAUUAUAUCUAUUAAUCAUGAUAUAUACUUUUAAAAUUUUAAGAAGCAUCUCUCUUCACUUGGGCCAGCGCCUAGCCAAGCACCUAGCAUCUCAGGCGUUUUGACACUUUGGCGUCGUUUAGUGUCUCUCACCCGCGACCACACUGCUAUAGCACAACUUGGUUCACUUGUUUGGUUCCAUUUAAUUAUUCAGACCCAUGCAUGUUGCCACACUUGGUUGAUGUUAGUUUUCAUGCUUGGUCCUUUAUGUGCAUGUUUGAAUUCAUCUGAACCAAAUUGAGCACAUCACAGCUCCACAAAAAAAUCAUUGGAUUUGAGCUGCAUUGGUUAUAUAUGUAUUCUAAAAAUGUUAUGAGAUUCAAGUGAGAUUGUCUUGAUUCAAUUUUAACCUAAACAUGUUUCAGCUGCAUUCCCUCGCAACAAGUUCUAUGCAUAAACUAACCUGUCCAUGAGUCCCUCAUGCAUAAUGUCUGCCUGCAUAUACAUGUUUGAUUGCAUGCCAUUAUCUUAUUGUAUCAAUCUUUUGAUCCUAUUAUUAUUUUUUUUGUUGCUUACCACAUAAGUCGGUUGGUUCUAAAAUGGUUAUGAAUGGCAAAGAAGUUUGUAAUAUGACUUUUGUUUAUCGUUACCUAUUUGUUGCUCAGACAUAAUAAUAUAUGUGCAAUUUAGUUAUCAGAUAGAACCACACACAUGGGAACAUUGCACAUAUUUCUUGUCUGUUUUUGGCUCUUGUGGUAACUUCAUCACAUAAGUGCUGAUUCCGGUGUCUUGCAUUGAACCACAGUAAUGAAUUGCUGGACCUCCUUUCGCAUGUAUUUACUAAUUAUGCAUACAGAAUGCAUUUAUAUAUUUGAUUUUGUGGCUAACGGAUUGUCUAUAUUAAUGGGAUUUGGAGAGGGCAGUUAGGUACUAGAAGCUAUUAGGAGCUGUCACUGUAUCUUCAUGCUAUCCUCUUCACAUCGAAGCUCUCAUUUUUCUUUUUUGUUGUUGUACAUGCCUCUGGAUCGUUCAUCAAUCAAUGUGAUUUUGUAUUUUGCUGUGCUUAGAUUUUAUUUUUCAUUUUUUUCUUCUUUUCAUUUCUUUGCUAUGAGAUGGUAGAUUUGUGCCUUGGCGGUCAUUAUAAACUGUGGUUUCAUUUUACAUUUUGAAACAUUAGUCAUUUUGGCAUCCAAAAUAAUUUUAUGUGACAUUUCAAAUUUCCUAUGACAUCAAUUACUUUGUUUUGUUCUUGAACAUUGGUACAGUGACAUGGUAUAAGUGAUCUUUUAUACAUGCUCAUUUGGUGAUCAUUGUAACUCGUAAAGGAGGUCAUGAAAAUAAUUUUGACUAAUAUUAGUUUAAAUUUACUUUACUUGAUUGUGGCCCAGAUAAUGUAAUCAAAUGUGGUGCUCGGCAUUUGAAAAUUUUCUUAUUAUACAAUAUCUCCAAUGAUGCGUAUUUAGUGACAACUGAAUUAAUUUCUGGCUCUUGGAUAUGAGCUGGUUCAGAACUGACCUUAGAUGGUGAAUUUUUCAAUCUCAGAUGUUCAAUGUUCUGAAAAUGCAUGCAUGUCAUUUACGAGCAUUUACUUUGGAGAAACAGCAAGCAACAACAUGCAAGUUAAAUACUGUUUAUUAAGAUGGACAGCAGGAGAAGUGCUGCUUUUAGAGAUAGAAAAGAGAAUUGGAAAGUUUUUUGACAAAAAAAAAGCUUGGAAAAGAUUGAACAAGAGAUAGCAGAGACUGUAAUUGUGUUACUGGCCAAAGAAAAUUAUAUUCAUUUGUCAAUAGAAUCAUGCAUACGUCUGGUGAUUCCUCAUGUGAAGGAUUUUAUUUAUAAAUAUAUCUGAGAUAGUACUAAUCUGAUUAGGUUUCCCAAAAGAAGCCCUCUAAACAGCAGCUGCUUGCUUUGAUAAAAGUGUUUGGUUCAUCAAACCUCUUAGUUUCCUUAUUAUGCCUACCACCACAAUUUCCUUUUCAAACACACCAAAACAUUUCAACAAUCAUCAAAACCCCAAAUGGUUCAAAGGACUUGACUCUCACUAAAAGUACAAGCUGAGCAAACAAUUAGAAUGUGACUUGAUUUCCAAACCCCAAAGUAGACCCAAAAUUUCAAUGUGUUUGGUUAGGUGUAACCUUACAUCUUUAUGUCGGCAUAGUGUGGUCUCCUCUGCAGGCUGAUAACAACUCUCUUGGCAACUUGAUACAUGUUUGUACCUCAAAAGAUAUUGGUGUUCUUAUAUUUGAAUUACCAUUCCUGUAUUUCUACUAGUAGCAAUAGAAAAAUAUUUGAAUUUUCUUAAUUCAACCACAGAUGUUUUCUUACACAGAAUUCAUUGAUGCAAAGGAUGCAUAUAGCGGAUAUGACUUUUAUUAUUGUUGUGCUUGUUUGCACUUGCUCGUUUUAUUGGCAAAUUCUCACAGAUCUAGGUUAUGUUGGUGAAACUUCUCAGUAAGAAAUAUUUCUUCCUUAUUAAUGACAUCAAGGUAUUUUUAAUACUGUAGCUGAAGCUAUUUGCACGAGCUGUCUUUCUCUAAAAUUAAGUUCCUUUAUCAACAUUGAACCAAAUAAACUAGUAGCCUUUCUUGAUCGAGGCACCUUUCUUACCUCUUGGUUCAUUUUAUGGAAAAUUUGUUGCCUUUCUCAGGUCUUUCAGCUAAGUUGCAAUUUUUUGUCUAGUUGUAUUAACAAUGUCUUUUCUACUUACCAGUCUUUCUAGUUGUAGUAGGAAUUAGUGAUCUCUGAAAGAAAUGGCUAAUGGAAACUGAAUGCAGGUGGGUUAACGUGAGUGGUAGACGAAUGUCCUCUGAUCAGAUGAUUAGUUGAAAGUUUUCAACUUCCUUUUGGUUGGAAGCAGAUACAGAAAAUAUAUUAGUUUGGGUGCCCUUGAUUCGAGGUAGAAGAGGAAGCUGAACAUAGAGCAGGCAGCAAUAAGACUACUUUUCUUGUAUUUUUCUGCAAACAGUACGUGAUACUGCUUCAAAAGAUCAUGUUUUUGGUGCAAAAGAGGCUCUUUCGCUGUCUCCCAAGUAACAAGUCCACUAUCCAUCUUUCCUCCCAUCAACUUUGCAAUCUGUUUAACUUCUCCACUGCUAAAGACCAAAGUUCAGAGCAUAGUUCCAACUUUAUAGUGGUCGACUCCCUUCAUUCAUGUGAACUUUCCUCAGAGAAGGCUGCAAAAAAAGCCAAGUAUCACACCUGUCACAAAAAUUCUUCGAGUCUUUCCAUUGAGUUCUUUAAGCAGAGCGGUUGGAGUGAUGCACAAGUCAUGAAACUUAUCCAGAGGUCACCGCUGUUGCUGCGUACUAAGGUAGAGACUGUCCUGAAGCCCAGAAUGAGAUCUUUGAAGGACAUGGGAUUUUCUGACACUGAAAUAGUUCAGCUGGUUUCUUCAUGUCCAUCUGUACUACUUAUACGUGAUAUCCAACCAAAGAUCAACUUCUGGAGGUCACUACUUUGUUCUAAUGAGAGGUUACUGAAAGCCUCUAGGAGGAACUUGUUUCUACUUACUUCUAGCUUGGCUCGGAAGAUAAAACCUAAUAUAUCUCUCUUAAGGGAAUGUGGCAUCAGUGACAAACUCAUCGCGAAUAUGGUGGUGACAGGGCCAGCCAUUUUGGGUCGAUCAAACAAAUGUAUGAAGGAAGCUAUCAAAUAUGUUGAGGAGUUGGGUGUGCCACGUAACUGUAGAAUGUUCCCUUAUGCACUUAAAAUAGUCGCUGGCAUGAGCCGAUCCAGGUUUGAUGCUACCUUUGCAACCCUGAUGAACUUUGGGUUCUCCCAGUCAGACAUCAUUGAUGUAUUCAGGAAGCAACCAACCGUUUGGGUUUUCUCAAAGAAGAACAUUUGUGACAAGAUGACUUUCCUGAUGAAGGAAGCUGGUUGUGAGCUGACAUAUAUCAUUUCCCAUCCUGCGAUUCUUAUAUACAGCUUGGAGAAGAGGUUGAAACCUCGAUAUGAAAUUCUGAAUUUUCUUGAGCAGAAUAAAUUGCUGGAUAAAGUAAAUGGCCUGAUAACCAUGAUAAUGCUAUCGGAAAAGAAGUUCCGAAAUAAAUUUCUUUUCCUGCUUCGCGAGGAGAAAUAUAUUGCUCUAUAUGAUUCCUAUGUUGCUGCUGUGCAUGGAAAGCGCCAUGUUGUUGUGGAAAAUUAGGAUUGCAAGUGCUUCCUUAGACAAAGUGUGAACCUAUUGCAUACUGACUGUAUUAUUUAAUCAUGUAAAAUUUGUGACAAUUUAAAUUCUCUAAGAGUUACUUCUUACGGUAGAACGUCCAUGUUGAUUUUGAGAUUUCUUUUCUCUUUAUUCUUCGGUACAACAAAAGAUACUGAUUCUUUAAUGCAUAAAUAUAGAGAACCAAGGGGGAGAAGUCAUUAUUUAAGAAAGAAACAAAGGUAACUAAAAUAUUUCAGAUCUGUCGGUUGGUCAGUGUCCACUUCAUUGAGAGCGAGUUAAUUAGGAGAGUAUGAUUUGAAGAUAUCCUCCAACCCUUAUAAAUAUGCAUGUGAUCAACGUGCUCUAUUGUGAGAUUUAUUAUUAUAGUAUCAACUGUCACCUCUCUCUCUGUCUCUCUCUCUCAGCCCGUGACUGCAUGCAUCCCAAUAUUCGUUCUAGUCAUAUCCAGACUCACACAUUAUGAAUUUAAGAGCCAUCGGUCCAACUCAAGCUUGCUUCUUAAUGUUCAAUUUAAUGCACUAAGCAAUAUAUAUGCUUUAAGGUAACAACACUCUCUCGAGUGAAGUGAACGGGCCUCGGCGCCCACCUGAUUCAAAUCAGAGAGGACUAUAUUGGAUCUGAGCCCAACAUAAGUCACUGGAUCUGGUUCGAUGGAACCAAAUGAAGGACUCUCCUCUCUCACACACAACUAUAUCGAUGGCCACGCGUGCAAUGAGAAGACUCGUGGAAACCUAAUCAGCCACCGGCGGCACCGUCUUCCUCUCCAUCGGCGAAUGGCGGCGGCAGCAAUGUCUUCCUCAGCGGGCUCAUCGUUGGUAUCUUUCUCCUCCUCCUCCUCCUCCUUUGCCGUCGCCCACUCUGCCCCAACCGCCUCCCUCCAUCUUCCCGCCCACACAUUCGCCGCCAGCGUCCCCUCUUCUUCGCCUCGUCGUAGCCGUCUUCCCCCUUCCUCCCUGCGCCGGCGUUUUCCCUUCUCCUCCCUACGUCGGCGUCUUCUUUCAUUGUAUCAUCCUUUCACCCCCGCGGCCAGCGUCUUCUCCCCCCUUCGCUUCGCUGCAGCCGCCCCAGCAACCCAACCGACAAAGACAGCCACCUCAACCCACAGCAACCUUCUCCCGUACCUCCUCCUCCCUCUCCUUCUCCUCGGAUCCUUCAUCCUUGCCCCCCUCCCAACUGACAGCAACCCCUUCUUCAUCCUUCUCCUUCUACGUAAAUUGUUUUUUUGAUAUAGAUUUGAACAAGUAUUAUUUGGUCCUUUAAAUGAAUACUAUGUUUCUUUUUUUUGUUUUAGCGAUUACAUCUAUUAAUCAUGAUGUAUACUUUUAAAAUUUUAAGAAGCAUCUCUCUUCACUCGGGCGUGGAAAGAAAUGGCUAAUGGAAACUGAAUGCAGGUGGGCUAACGUGAGUGGUAGACGAAUGUCCUCUGAUCAGAUGAUUAGUUGAAUGUUUUCAACUUCCUUUUGGUUGGAAGCAGAUACAGAAAAUAUAUUAGUUUGGGUGCCCCUGAUUUGAGGUAGAAGAGGAAGCUGAACAUAGAGCAGGCAGCAAUAAGACUACUUUUCUUGUAUUUUUCUGCAAACAGUACGUGAUACUGCUUCAAAAGAUCAUGUUUUUGGUGCAAAAGAGGCUCUUUCGCUGUCUCCCAAGUAACAAGUCCACUAUCCAUCUUUCCUCCCAUCAACUUUGCAGUCUGUUUAACUUCUCCACUGCUAAAGACCAAAGUUCAGAGCAUAGUUCCAACUUUAUUGUGGUCGACUCCCUUCAUUCAUGUGAACUUUCCUCAGAGAAGGCUGCAAAAAACUCCAAGUAUCACACCUGUCACAAAAAUUCUUCGAGUCUUACCAUUGAGUUCUUUAAGCAGAGCGGUUGGAGUGAUGCACAAGUCAUGAAACUUAUCCAGAAGUCACCGCGGUUGCUGCGUACUAAGGUAGAAACUGUCCUGAAGCCCAGAAUGAGAUCUUUGAAGGACAUGGGAUUUUCUGACACUGAAAUAGUUCAGCUAGUUUCAUCAUGUCCAUCUGUACUAAUACGCGAUAUCCAACCGAAGAUCAACUUCUGGAGGUCACUACUUGGUUCUAAUGAGAGGUUACUGAAAGCCUCUAGGAGGAACAUGUUUCUACUUACUUCUAGCUUGGCUCGGAAGAUAGAACCUAAUAUAUCUCUCUUAAGGGAAUGUGGCAUCAGUGACAAACGCAUCGCGUAUAUGGUGGUGACAAAGCCGACCAUUAUUGGUCGAUCAAACAAAUAUAUAAAGGAAGCUAUCAAAUAUGUUGAGGAGUUGGGUGUGCCAUGUAACUG
This 10690-nucleotide long non-coding RNA is filed under the name Musa acuminata (dwarf banana). RNAcentral describes it as "long non-coding RNA (MACU_LNC006298)". The record is from RNAcentral. Lineage: Eukaryota; Viridiplantae; Streptophyta; Magnoliopsida; Zingiberales; Musaceae.